CCUACGGGGGGCAGCAGUGGGGAAUAUUGGACAAUGGGCGAAAGCCUGAUCCAGCCAUGCCGCGUGUGUGAAGAAGGCCUUCGGGUUGUAAAGCACUUUCAGUGGGGAAGAAAGCCUUGGGGCUAAUACCCUCGAGGAAGGACAUCACCCACAGAAGAAGCACCGGCUAACUCCGUGCCAGCAGCCGCGGUAAUACGGAGGGUGCGAGCGUUAAUCGGAAUUACUGGGCGUAAAGCGCGCGUAGGCGGUCUGAUAAGCCGGUUGUGAAAGCCCCGGGCUCAACCUGGGAACGGCAUCCGGAACUGUCAGGCUAGAGUGCAGGAGAGGAAGGUAGAAUUCCCGGUGUAGCGGUGAAAUGCGUAGAGAUCGGGAGGAAUACCAGUGGCGAAGGCGGUCUUCUGGACUGACACUGACGCUGAGGUGCGAAAGCGUGGGUAGCAAACAGGAUUAGAUACCCGAGUAGUC
RNAcentral lists this ribosomal RNA (465 nucleotides) under Vreelandella stevensii. RNAcentral describes it as "partial 16S ribosomal RNA". It matches the Rfam family "Bacterial small subunit ribosomal RNA", at positions 338 to 795 of the family's 1533-position model. Lineage: Bacteria; Pseudomonadati; Pseudomonadota; Gammaproteobacteria; Oceanospirillales; Halomonadaceae. The record is from RNAcentral.